Molecule: ribosomal RNA, 633 nt
Filed under: uncultured bacterium
Lineage: Bacteria
Description: bacterial SSU rRNA
Rfam family: Bacterial small subunit ribosomal RNA (bases 1-539)
Source: RNAcentral
CCUACGGGAGGCAGCAGUAAGGAAUAUUGGUCAAUGGACGCAAGUCUGAACCAGCCAUGCCGCGUGAAGGAUUAAGGCCCUCUGGGUUGUAAACUUCUUUUAUAGGGGACGAAAAAAGGGCAUUCUUGCUCACUUGACGGUACCCUAGGAAUAAGCACCGGCUAACUCCGUGCCAGCAGCCGCGGUAAUACGGAGGGUGCAAGCGUUAUCCGGAUUUACUGGGUUUAAAGGGUGCGUAGGUGGGUUGGUAAGUCAGUGGUGAAAUCUUCGAGCUUAACUCGGAAACUGCCAUUGAUACUAUCAAUCUUGAAUCAUCUAGAGGUAAGCGGAAUAUGUCAUGUAGCGGUGAAAUGCUUAGAUAUGACAUAGAACACCAAUUGCGAAGGCAGCUUACUAUGGAUGUAUUGACACUGAGGCACGAAAGCGUGGGGAUCAAACAGGAUUAGAUACCCUGGUAGUCCACGACCUAACGAUAGAUACUACGACAUUAGUUGAUAUACUAUAAGUAGUCUGAGCGAAGACAUUAAGUUAAUACCACCUACGGAAGGUACGACCGCCGAAGGUUAGUAAACGUACGAAACGGAAAGUUAGUACGGCGUGAGACGUGCCGACGGACGACGACGAGGGAGGAGG